RNAcentral lists this ribosomal RNA (331 nucleotides) under uncultured bacterium. RNAcentral's name for it is "bacterial SSU rRNA". It matches the Rfam family "Bacterial small subunit ribosomal RNA", at positions 568 to 898 of the family's 1533-position model. The record is from RNAcentral.
CGCGUAGGCGGCGGACCGAGUCGAGUGUGAAAGCCCCGGGCUCAACCUGGGAGGUGCGCUCGAGACUGGCCCGCUGGAGUUCGGGAGAGGAGAGCGGAAUUCCCAGUGUAGAGGUGAAAUUCGUAGAUAUUGGGAAGAACACCGGUGGCGAAGGCGGCUCUCUGGACCGAGACUGACGCUGAGGCGCGAAAGCGUGGGGAGCAAACAGGAUUAGAUACCCUGGUAGUCCACGCUGUAAACGAUGUGUGCUAGACGUUGGGGAGCGUAGCUCUUCGGUGUCGCCGCAAACGCUUUAAGCACACCGCCUGGGGAGUACGGCCGCAAGGUUAAA